Molecule: ribosomal RNA, 460 nt
Filed under: uncultured bacterium
Lineage: Bacteria
Description: partial 16S ribosomal RNA
Rfam family: Bacterial small subunit ribosomal RNA
Source: RNAcentral
CCUACGGGAGGCUGCAGUGAGGAAUAUUGGUCAAUGGACGCAAGUCUGAACCAGCCAUGCCGCGUGAAGGAAGACGGCCCUAUGAGUUGUAAACUGCUUUUGUACGGGGGUAAACGUAGACACGCGUACCUUUUUGAAUGUACCUUAUGAAUAAGGAUCGGCUAACUCCGGGCCAGCAGCCGCGGUAAUACGGAGGAUCCGAGCGUUAUCCGGAUUUAUUGGGUUUAAAGGGAGCGUAGGGGGUCGGUUAAGUUAGUUGUGAAAUCUCGAGGCUCAACCUCGGAAUUGCAUUUGAUACUGGCAGGCUAGAGUAUAGUAGAGGUAGGCGGAAUUCGUGGUGUAGCGGUGAAAUGCUUAGAGAUCACGAAGAACACCGAUUGCGAAGGCAGUUUACUGGGCUACUACUGACGCUGAGGCUCGAAAGCGUGGGGAGCAAACAGGAUUAGAUACCCGGGUAGUC